RNAcentral lists this non-coding RNA (114 nucleotides) under Caloramator mitchellensis. RNAcentral's name for it is "FMN sequence". It matches the Rfam family "FMN riboswitch aptamer (RFN element)". From Rfam's summary of the family: The RFN element is a highly conserved domain that is found frequently in the 5'-untranslated regions of prokaryotic mRNAs that encode for flavin mononucleotide (FMN) biosynthesis and transport proteins. This element is a metabolite-dependent riboswitch that directly binds FMN in the absence of proteins. The record is from Rfam by way of RNAcentral. Lineage: Bacteria; Bacillati; Bacillota; Clostridia; Eubacteriales; Clostridiaceae.
AGAUAUCUUCAGGGCAGGGUGAAAUUCCCGACCGGCGGUAAAGCCCGCGAGCCGAAAGGCAGAUCUGGUGUGAUUCCAGAGCCGACAGUAAAGUCUGGAUGGAAGAGGAUAUUU